Molecule: ribosomal RNA, 253 nt
Filed under: uncultured bacterium
Lineage: Bacteria
Description: partial 16S ribosomal RNA
Rfam family: Bacterial small subunit ribosomal RNA
Source: RNAcentral
UACGUAGGUGGCAAGCGUUGUCCGGAAUUAUUGGGCGUAAAGCGCGCGCAGGCGGUCCUUUAAGUCCGAUGUGAAAGCCCACGGCUCAACCGUGGAGGGUCAUUGGAAACUGGGGGUCUUGAGUGCAGGAGAGAAGAGUGGAAUUCCACGUGUAGCGGUGAAAUGCGUAGAGAUGUGGAGGAACACCAGUGGCGAAGGCGGCUCACUGGCCCGGUACUGACGCUGAGGCGCGAAAGCGUGGGGAGCAAACAGG